This 1559-nucleotide ribosomal RNA is filed under the name Bacillus anthracis (anthrax bacterium). RNAcentral's name for it is "partial 23S ribosomal RNA". It matches the Rfam family "Bacterial large subunit ribosomal RNA", at positions 1 to 1552 of the family's 2925-position model. Lineage: Bacteria; Bacillati; Bacillota; Bacilli; Caryophanales; Bacillaceae. The record is from RNAcentral. RNAcentral also lists the same sequence under 6 other names.
GGUUAAGUUAGAAAGGGCGCACGGUGGAUGCCUUGACACUAGGAGUCGAUGAAGGACGGGACUAACGCCGAUAUGCUUCGGGGAGCUGUAAGUAAGCUUUGAUCCGAAGAUUUCCGAAUGGGGAAACCCACCAUACGUAAUGGUAUGGUAUCCUUAUCUGAAUACAUAGGGUAAGGAAGACAGACCCAGGGAACUGAAACAUCUAAGUACCUGGAGGAAGAGAAAGCAAAUGCGAUUUCCUGAGUAGCGGCGAGCGAAACGGAACAUAGCCCAAACCAAGAGGCUUGCCUCUUGGGGUUGUAGGACAUUCUAUACGGAGUUACAAAGGAACGAGGUAGACGAAGCGACCUGGAAAGGUCCGUCGUAGAGGGUAACAACCCCGUAGUCGAAACUUCGUUCUCUCUUGAAUGUAUCCUGAGUACGGCGGAACACGUGAAAUUCCGUCGGAAUCUGGGAGGACCAUCUCCCAAGGCUAAAUACUCCCUAGUGAUCGAUAGUGAACCAGUACCGUGAGGGAAAGGUGAAAAGCACCCCGGAAGGGGAGUGAAAGAGAUCCUGAAACCGUGUGCCUACAAAUAGUCAGAGCCCGUUAACGGGUGAUGGCGUGCCUUUUGUAGAAUGAACCGGCGAGUUACGAUCCCGUGCGAGGUUAAGCUGAAGAGGCGGAGCCGCAGCGAAAGCGAGUCUGAAUAGGGCGUUUAGUACGUGGUCGUAGACCCGAAACCAGGUGAUCUACCCAUGUCCAGGGUGAAGUUCAGGUAACACUGAAUGGAGGCCCGAACCCACGCACGUUGAAAAGUGCGGGGAUGAGGUGUGGGUAGCGGAGAAAUUCCAAUCGAACCUGGAGAUAGCUGGUUCUCCCCGAAAUAGCUUUAGGGCUAGCCUUAAGUGUAAGAGUCUUGGAGGUAGAGCACUGAUUGGACUAGGGGUCCUCAUCGGAUUACCGAAUUCAGUCAAACUCCGAAUGCCAAUGACUUAUCCUUAGGAGUCAGACUGCGAGUGAUAAGAUCCGUAGUCAAAAGGGAAACAGCCCAGACCGCCAGCUAAGGUCCCAAAGUGUGUAUUAAGUGGAAAAGGAUGUGGAGUUGCUUAGACAACUAGGAUGUUGGCUUAGAAGCAGCCACCAUUUAAAGAGUGCGUAAUAGCUCACUAGUCGAGUGACUCUGCGCCGAAAAUGUACCGGGGCUAAAUACACCACCGAAGCUGCGGAUUGAUACCGAAUGGUAUCAGUGGUAGGGGAGCGUUCUAAGGACAGUGAAGUCAGACCGGAAGGACUGGUGGAGUGCUUAGAAGUGAGAAUGCCGGUAUGAGUAGCGAAAGACGGGUGAGAAUCCCGUCCACCGAAUGCCUAAGGUUUCCUGAGGAAGGCUCGUCCGCUCAGGGUUAGUCAGGACCUAAGCCGAGGCCGACAGGCGUAGGCGAUGGACAACAGGUUGAUAUUCCUGUACCACCUCUUUAUCGUUUGAGCAAUGGAGGGACGCAGAAGGAUAGAAGAAGCGUGCGAUUGGUUGUGCACGUCCAAGCAGUUAGGCUGAUAAGUAGGCAAAUCCGCUUAUCGU